Molecule: ribosomal RNA, 723 nt
Filed under: Triticum aestivum (bread wheat)
Lineage: Eukaryota; Viridiplantae; Streptophyta; Magnoliopsida; Poales; Poaceae
Description: partial small subunit ribosomal RNA
Source: RNAcentral
AUGCCGCCGCACCCCAAGAACGCCGCAGUUGGUAGUUGGUACAUGGCGCACGCUGGUGACAUGGUGGCUUUCUACGACGCCUGGGUGGGCCGCGAGGAGGAGAUGGUGUCCGACCUCACGGCCGCGCUCGGGGCGCGCCGGCGCGACGCGCUGGCGCCGCUCGUGGACGCCGCCAUGGACCACGUGGCCACCUACUACGAGCACAAGGCGAGCCUCGCCGACCGCGACGUGGUGGCGGCGCUCGACCAGCGCUGGCUCAACCCGCUGGAGCGCACCUUCCUGUGGGCGUGGGGGUGGCGGCCCGCGCUGGUGUUCCGCUUCGUGGACGGCGGCGCCGUGGGCCCGCGCCAGCGCCGCGAGCUGGAGGACCUGCGCGCGGCCACGGCGGCGGCCGAGAAGGAGGUGGACCGGGAGGUGGCGGCCGUGCAGGAGUCGCUGGCGGGGCCACGCGUGCUGGAGGCGCUGCGCCAGCGCCGGCAGCACCCGCGGAACGGCGUCCAGGCCGACGAGGCCGUGGCCGCGGUGGGGCGGUCGCUCCGCGUGCUGCUGGCCGCGGGCGACGCGCUCCGCGAGCGCACGGUGCGCGGCGUCGUCGGGGUGCUGGCCCCGGACGCGGAGCAGGCUGGCGCCUUCGUCGCGGCCAUGCUGAGGUUCCACCUCGGCGUCCACCGCGCCGGGCGCGCCUGGAGCUCCGGCCACGGCGGCGGCCGGCGGGGCCUCUAG